UCCAGCUCCCCGAGUGGUCGGGACGAUUAUUGGGCCUAAAGCAUCCGUAGCCGGUUCUGUAGGUCUUAUGUUAAAAUCAAUUGCUUAACAAUUGAACUGCAUGAGAUACCACAAAACUAGGAGGCGGGAGAGGUGGACGGUACUCCACGGGUAGGGGUAAAAUCCUCUGAACCAUGGAAGACCACCAGUGGCGAAGGCGGUCCACCAGAACGCGUCGACGGUGAGGGAUGAAAGCUGGGGUAGCGAACCGGAUUAGAUACCCGGGUAGUCCCAGCUGUAAACGAUGCAAGCUAGGUGAUGCAUUAGCAAUGUGUUAAUGCAGUGCCGCAGGGAAGCCGUUAAGCUUGCCGCCUGGGGAGUACGGUCGCAAGGCUGAAACUUAAAGGAAUUGGCGGGGGAGCACCACAAGGGGUGAAGCCUGCGGUUCAAUUGGAGUCAACGCCGG
Molecule: ribosomal RNA, 445 nt
Filed under: uncultured marine crenarchaeote
Lineage: Archaea; Thermoproteati; Thermoproteota
Description: bacterial SSU rRNA
Rfam family: Archaeal small subunit ribosomal RNA
Source: RNAcentral